UUAAGCGACUAAGCGUACACGGUGGAUGCCCUGGCAGUCAGAGGCGAUGAAGGACGUGCUAAUCUGCGAUAAGCGUCGGUAAGGUGAUAUGAACCGUUAUAACCGGCGAUUUCCGAAUGGGGAAACCCAGUGUGAUUCGUCACACUAUCAUUAACUGAAUCCAUAGGUUAAUGAGGCGAACCGGGGGAACUGAAACAUCUAAGUACCCCGAGGAAAAGAAAUCAACCGAGAUUCCCCCAGUAGCGGCGAGCGAACGGGGAGGAGCCCAGAGCCUGAAUCAGUGUGUGUGUUAGUGGAAGCGUCUGGAAAGGCGCGCGAUACAGGGUGACAGCCCCGUACACAAAAAUGCACAUGCUGUGAGCUCGAUGAGUAGGGCGGGACACGUGGUAUCCUGUCUGAAUAUGGGGGGACCAUCCUCCAAGGCUAAAUACUCCUGACUGACCGAUAGUGAACCAGUACCGUGAGGGAAAGGCGAAAAGAACCCCGGCGAGGGGAGUGAAAAAGAACCUGAAACCGUGUACGUACAAGCAGUGGGAGCACAGAGCAAUCUGUGUGACUGCGUACCUUUUGUAUAAUGGGUCAGCGACUUAUAUUCUGUAGCAAGGUUAACCGAAUAGGGGAGCCGAAGGGAAACCGAGUCUUAACUGGGCGUUAAGUUGCAGGGUAUAGACCCGAAACCCGGUGAUCUAGCCAUGGGCAGGUUGAAGGUUGGGUAACACUAACUGGAGGACCGAACCGACUAAUGUUGAAAAAUUAGCGGAUGACUUGUGGCUGGGGGUGAAAGGCCAAUCAAACCGGGAGAUAGCUGGUUCUCCCCGAAAGCUAUUUAGGUAGCGCCUCGUGAAUUCAUCUCCGGGGGUAGAGCACUGUUUCGGCAAGGGGGUCAUCCCGACUUACCAACCCGAUGCAAACUGCGAAUACCGGAGAAUGUUAUCACGGGAGACACACGGCGGGUGCUAACGUCCGUCGUGAAGAGGGAAACAACCCAGACCGCCAGCUAAGGUCCCAAAGUCAUGGUUAAGUGGGAAACGAUGUGGGAAGGCCCAGACAGCCAGGAUGUUGGCUUAGAAGCAGCCAUCAUUUAAAGAAAGCGUAAUAGCUCACUGGUCGAGUCGGCCUGCGCGGAAGAUGUAACGGGGCUAAACCAUGCACCGAAGCUGCGGCAGCGACACUAUGUGUUGUUGGGUAGGGGAGCGUUCUGUAAGCCUGUGAAGGUGUGCUGUGAGGCAUGCUGGAGGUAUCAGAAGUGCGAAUGCUGACAUAAGUAACGAUAAAGCGGGUGAAAAGCCCGCUCGCCGGAAGACCAAGGGUUCCUGUCCAACGUUAAUCGGGGCAGGGUGAGUCGACCCCUAAGGCGAGGCCGAAAGGCGUAGUCGAUGGGAAACAGGUUAAUAUUCCUGUACUUGGUGUUACUGCGAAGGGGGGACGGAGAAGGCUAUGUUGGCCGGGCGACGGUUGUCCCGGUUUAAGCGUGUAGGCUGGUUUUCCAGGCAAAUCCGGAAAAUCAAGGCUGAGGCGUGAUGACGAGGCACUACGGUGCUGAAGCAACAAAUGCCCUGCUUCCAGGAAAAGCCUCUAAGCAUCAGGUAACAUCAAAUCGUACCCCAAACCGACACAGGUGGUCAGGUAGAGAAUACCAAGGCGCUUGAGAGAACUCGGGUGAAGGAACUAGGCAAAAUGGUGCCGUAACUUCGGGAGAAGGCACGCUGAUAUGUAGGUGAAGUCCCUCGCGGAUGGAGCUGAAAUCAGUCGAAGAUACCAGCUGGCUGCAACUGUUUAUUAAAAACACAGCACUGUGCAAACACGAAAGUGGACGUAUACGGUGUGACGCCUGCCCGGUGCCGGAAGGUUAAUUGAUGGGGUUAGCGCAAGCGAAGCUCUUGAUCGAAGCCCCGGUAAACGGCGGCCGUAACUAUAACGGUCCUAAGGUAGCGAAAUUCCUUGUCGGGUAAGUUCCGACCUGCACGAAUGGCGUAAUGAUGGCCAGGCUGUCUCCACCCGAGACUCAGUGAAAUUGAACUCGCUGUGAAGAUGCAGUGUACCCGCGGCAAGACGGAAAGACCCCGUGAACCUUUACUAUAGCUUGACACUGAACAUUGAGCCUUGAUGUGUAGGAUAGGUGGGAGGCUUUGAAGUGUGGACGCCAGUCUGCAUGGAGCCGACCUUGAAAUACCACCCUUUAAUGUUUGAUGUUCUAACGUUGACCCGUAAUCCGGGUUGCGGACAGUGUCUGGUGGGUAGUUUGACUGGGGCGGUCUCCUCCUAAAGAGUAACGGAGGAGCACGAAGGUUGGCUAAUCCUGGUCGGACAUCAGGAGGUUAGUGCAAUGGCAUAAGCCAGCUUGACUGCGAGCGUGACGGCGCGAGCAGGUGCGAAAGCAGGUCAUAGUGAUCCGGUGGUUCUGAAUGGAAGGGCCAUCGCUCAACGGAUAAAAGGUACUCCGGGGAUAACAGGCUGAUACCGCCCAAGAGUUCAUAUCGACGGCGGUGUUUGGCACCUCGAUGUCGGCUCAUCACAUCCUGGGGCUGAAGUAGGUCCCAAGGGUAUGGCUGUUCGCCAUUUAAAGUGGUACGCGAGCUGGGUUUAGAACGUCGUGAGACAGUUCGGUCCCUAUCUGCCGUGGGCGCUGGAGAAUUGAGGGGGGCUGCUCCUAGUACGAGAGGACCGGAGUGGACGCAUCACUGGUGUUCGGGUUGUCAUGCCAAUGGCACUGCCCGGUAGCUAAAUGCGGAAGAGAUAAGUGCUGAAAGCAUCUAAGCACGAAACUUGCCCCGAGAUGAGUUCUCCCUGACUCCUUGAGAGUCCUGAAGGAACGUUGAAGACGACGACGUUGAUAGGCCGGGUGUGUAAGCGCAGCGAUGCGUUGAGCUAACCGGUACUAAUGAACCGUGAGGCUUAACCUU
This 2903-nucleotide ribosomal RNA is filed under the name Escherichia coli. RNAcentral's name for it is "bacterial LSU rRNA". It matches the Rfam family "Bacterial large subunit ribosomal RNA". Lineage: Bacteria; Pseudomonadati; Pseudomonadota; Gammaproteobacteria; Enterobacterales; Enterobacteriaceae. The record is from RNAcentral.